CAAGACUCUUCCUAGAGCUGGCCCUAGGCCAAACUGAGCAAUCGGGGGAGAAAGUGCCUUGGUCAGGUAGGUGACCAAGAACCCGAUGGUCACUCUGUCAUUUCUCUGUGAUGGUUGUCCUUCUGGAAGGUUCUCCUAUCUUUGCCGCACUCCACUAAUCAGGCCUUCAUGGUAGAGUGGCCAGACAGAAGCCACUACUCUGUAAAAGGCAAGAUUCUCUGAUUUGAUGAAACCAAGAUUGAACUCUUUGGAGAUCGAACAUCUCUGGAGACCUGAAAAUAGCUGUGCAGUGACUCUCCCCAUCCAACUUGACAGAGAUUGAGGUUCUGCAGAGAAGAAUGGGAGAAUCUCCCCAAAUACAGGCUGCCCAGCUGCCCGCCUUGGGACAUGGAAGGGAGAGGAAACACUGAGAAAGUAAUGCUCUCACUACUUCCCCUCCAGACAGGAAGACCAAACGCCAACCUGUUUUCUUUCCUGCAUGAUCAAUGAAGUUAAAGUACUGUACUGUACAUACUAAUAGUAAUAGGUGAUGUGUAGAUAGGCCUGCGUCCCAAAAUGGCACCCUAUUUCCUAUAUAGUGCACUACUUUUGACCAGUGCCCUAUUAGCCCUUUGACUUUGGGCAAAAGUAGUAAACUAUAAUGGGAAUAUGGUGUCAUUUGGUACGCCCAUAGUUAUGUUCUCCAGAAUUCUCAAAAAUAUAGGUAUCGAAAAGAAAGACUCAUGGCAUUUGUAUAAAUAUAAUAAUGCCUCUUUACUGAACUUUCUGAUUUAGCCUCAGUUUCAAUUCUCCUCAUUAGGAAAUGCGACAGAAUGAGGUUUGGGUCUUGGAGGUGUCCUUUGAUGUGGAGAUUUGGGUCUUGGAGGGGGGCUUUGAUGUGAGUGUCUCUUGUGUGUUUGAACGUGGGAUCGUUUGUACAUUCAUUCUGCAAAAAAAAAAACAGUACAGCUACAGUCACUCACCCUUCUAGAUAACUUGAAACAGUCUAACCAGGUCUUGUGUCUGGAAGCCACCUGCAGAUUCAUACUACAGCUAUGACAAUCCGUUUGUAUUACUAGUAGUAUGGGUUGGGAUUACGGUUCAUUUUUUUUUUAGCUAGCUAGCUACAUUACACGGCCCAUCAAGUUAGCCAGUUGUAUCUGGGGGUGAUUACGGCCAUCUACUGUAUUUCAUGAACAUGUGUACAUGUCUAGACAAUAGUGACCCAUCCACUUAGCUGGAUGUGACUGGGGAGUGGUUAUAGCAUGACCCAUCCAAUGUAAACAAGUGUGUCUGGGUAAGCAGCUGAUAAUGAUCAAAUAUUUUUAUCUGGACACCCUUUGUUUUUUUAUAUUGC
Molecule: long non-coding RNA, 1336 nt
Organism: Oncorhynchus tshawytscha (Chinook salmon)
Lineage: Eukaryota; Metazoa; Chordata; Actinopteri; Salmoniformes; Salmonidae
Source: Ensembl